RNAcentral lists this ribosomal RNA (639 nucleotides) under uncultured Akkermansia sp. RNAcentral's name for it is "bacterial SSU rRNA". It matches the Rfam family "Bacterial small subunit ribosomal RNA", at positions 20 to 681 of the family's 1533-position model. Lineage: Bacteria; Pseudomonadati; Verrucomicrobiota; Verrucomicrobiia; Verrucomicrobiales; Akkermansiaceae. The record is from RNAcentral.
GAAUUCACUAGUGAUUUGGCGGCGUGGAUAAGACAUGCAAGUCGAACGAGAGAAUUGCUAGCUUGCUAAUAAUUCUCUAGUGGCGCACGGGUGAGUAACACGUGAGUAACCUGCCCCCGAGAGCGGGAUAGCCCUGGGAAACUGGGAUUAAUACCGCAUAGUAUCGAAAGAUUAAAGCAGCAAUGCGCUUGGGGAUGGGCUCGCGGCCUAUUAGUUAGUUGGUGAGGUAACGGCUCACCAAGGCGAUGACGGGUAGCCGGUCUGAGAGGAUGUCCGGCCACACUGGAACUGAGACACGGUCCAGACACCUACGGGUGGCAGCAGUCGAGAAUCAUUCACAAUGGGGGAAACCCUGAUGGUGCGACGCCGCGUGGGGGAAUGAAGGUCUUCGGAUUGUAAACCCCUGUCAUGUGGGAGCAAAUUAAAAAGAUAGUACCACAAGAGGAAGAGACGGCUAACUCUGUGCCAGCAGCCGCGGUAAUACAGAGGUCUCAAGCGUUGUUCGGAAUCACUGGGCGUAAAGCGUGCGUAGGCUGUUUCGUAAGUCGUGUGUGAAAGGCGCGGGCUCAACCCGCGGACGGCACAUGAUACUGCGAGACUAGAGUAAUGGAGGGGGAACCGGAAUUCACGGUGUAGCAA